RNAcentral lists this ribosomal RNA (440 nucleotides) under uncultured bacterium. Its description in RNAcentral is "partial 16S ribosomal RNA". It matches the Rfam family "Bacterial small subunit ribosomal RNA", at positions 338 to 795 of the family's 1533-position model. The record is from RNAcentral.
CCUACGGGUGGCAGCAGUGGGGAAUAUUGCACAAUGGGGGAAACCCUGAUGCAGCGACGCCGCGUGAGUGCAGAAGUAAUUCGUUAUGUAAAGCUCUAUCAGCAGGGAAGAAAAUGACGGUACCUGAGUAAGAAGCCCCGGCUAACUACGUGCCAGCAGCCGCGGUAAUACGUAGGGGGCAAGCGUUAUCCGGAUUUACUGGGUGGAAAGGGAGCGUAGACGGCAGUGCAAGUCUGGAGUGAAAGGCGGGGGCUCAACCCGCGGACUGCUCUGGAAACUGUACGGCUGGAGUGCAGGAGAGGUAAGUGGAAUUCCAAGUGUAGCGGUGAAAUGCGUAGAUAUUAGGAGGAACACCAGUGGCGAAGGCGGCUUACUGGACUGUAACUGACGUUGAGGCUCGAAAGCGUGGGGAGCAAACAGGAUUAGAUACCCCUGUAGUC